GAAAUGCGAUAAGUAAUGUGAAUUGCAGAAUUCAGUGAAUCAUCGAAUCUUUGAACGCACAUUGUGCCCGCCAGCAUUCUGGCGGGCAUGCCUGUUCGAGCGUCAUUUCAACCCUCGAGCUCCCUUUGGGGAGCCCGGCGUUGGGGACCGGCCUCUACCGCCGGCCCCGAAAUGAAGUGGCGGCCCGUCCGCGGCGACCUCUGCGUAGUAACUCACCUCGCACCGGAACCCCGACGUGGCCACGCCGUAAAACACCCAACUUUCUGAACGUUGAUCUCGAAUCAGGUAGGAAUACCCGCUGAACUUAAGC
RNAcentral lists this unclassified non-coding RNA (310 nucleotides) under plant metagenome. Its description in RNAcentral is "partial contains 5.8S ribosomal RNA, internal transcribed spacer 2, and large subunit ribosomal RNA". The stretch from base 1 to 105 matches the Rfam family "5.8S ribosomal RNA", at positions 50 to 154 of the family's 154-position model. The record is from RNAcentral.